AAUACUUUAUGCGUCAAAAGGAUUCGUCUGCCCAAGGAUGGGUCUGCGGCCUAUCAGGUAGUAGUGGGUGUAAUGUACCUACUAGCCAGCGACGGGUACGGGUUGUGAGAGCAAGAGCCCGGAGAUGGAUUCUGAGACAUGAAUCCAGGCCCUACGGGGCGCAGCAGGCGCGAAAACUUUACAAUGCGGGAAACCGUGAUAAGGGGACACCGAGUGCCAGCAUCAUAUGCUGGCUGUCCGGAUGUGUAAAAUACAUCCGUUAGCAAGGGCCGGGCAAGACCGGUGCCAGCCGCCGCGGUAACACCGGCGGCCCGAGUGGUGAUCGUGAUUAUUGGGUCUAAAGGGUCCGUAGCCGGUUUGGUCAGUCCUCCGGGAAAUCUGAUAGCUCAACUAUUAGGCUUUCGGGGGAUACUGCCAGACUUGGAACCGGGAGAGGUAAGAGGUACUACAGGGGUAGGAGUGAAAUCUUGUAAUCCCUGUGGGACCACCUGUGGCGAAGGCGUCUUACCAGAACGGGUUCGACGGUGAGGGACGAAGGCUGGGGGCACGAACCGGAUUAGAUACCCGGGUAGUCCCAGCCGUAAACGAUGCUCGCUANGUGUCAGGCAUGGCGCGACCGUGUCUGGUGCCGCANGGAAGCCGUGAAGCGAGCCACCUGGGAAGUACGGCCGCAAGGCUGAAACUUAAAGGAAUUGCNGGGGAACACAACAACCGGGUUGGANCCUGCNGUUUAAUUUGGACUCAACGCCCGGACAACUCAACGGGGGGCCACAAGCAA
Molecule: ribosomal RNA, 778 nt
Filed under: uncultured archaeon Cas20#1
Lineage: Archaea
Description: bacterial SSU rRNA
Rfam family: Archaeal small subunit ribosomal RNA
Source: RNAcentral